This 71-nucleotide transfer RNA is filed under the name Cytophagales bacterium. It matches the Rfam family "tRNA". From Rfam's summary of the family: Transfer RNA (tRNA) molecules are approximately 80 nucleotides in length. Their secondary structure includes four short double-helical elements and three loops (D, anti-codon, and T loops). The record is from Rfam by way of RNAcentral. Lineage: Bacteria; Pseudomonadati; Bacteroidota; Cytophagia; Cytophagales.
AGCUACGUGUCCGAGUGGUAAGGUACAGGUCUGCAAAACCUUUCACAGCGGUUCGAAUCCGCUCGUAGCGU